GACGAACGCUGGCGGCGUGCUUAACACAUGCAAGUCGAACGGAAAGGCCCUGCUUUUGUGGGGUGCUCGAGUGGCGAACGGGUGAGUAACACGUGAGUAACCUGCCCUUGACUUUGGGAUAACUUCAGGAAACUGGGGCUAAUACCGGAUAGGAGCUCCUGCUGCAUGGUGGGGGUUGGAAAGUUUCGGCGGUUGGGGAUGGACUCGCGGCUUAUCAGCUUGUUGGUGGGGUAGUGGCUUACCAAGGCUUUGACGGGUAGCCGGCCUGAGAGGGUGACCGGCCACAAUGGGACUGAGAGACGGCCCAGACGCCUACGGGAGACAGCAGUGGGGAAUAUUGCACAAUGGGCGGAAGCCUGAGACAGCAACGCCGCGUGCGGGAUGACGGCCUUCGGGUUGUGAACCGCUUUCGCCUGUGACGAAGCGUGAGUGACGGUAAUGGGUAAAGAAGCACCGGCUAACUACGUG
Molecule: ribosomal RNA, 468 nt
Filed under: uncultured bacterium
Lineage: Bacteria
Description: partial 16S ribosomal RNA
Rfam family: Bacterial small subunit ribosomal RNA
Source: RNAcentral